This 304-nucleotide unclassified non-coding RNA is filed under the name uncultured fungus. RNAcentral's name for it is "partial contains 5.8S ribosomal RNA, internal transcribed spacer 2, and large subunit ribosomal RNA". The stretch from base 1 to 52 matches the Rfam family "5.8S ribosomal RNA", at positions 103 to 154 of the family's 154-position model. The record is from RNAcentral. Lineage: Eukaryota; Fungi. RNAcentral also lists the same sequence under 1 other name.
AACGCACCUUGCGCUCCUUGGUAUUCCGAGGAGCAUGCCUGUUUGAGUGUCAUUAAAUUCUCAACCCCUCCAGCUUUUGUGGCUGGUCGUGGCUUGGAUAUGGGAGUUUUGCUGGUCUCAUUUCGAGAUCAGCUCUCCUGAAAUGCAUUAGUGGAACCGUUUGCGAUCCGUCACCGGUGUGAUAAUUAUCUACGCCAUAGACUGUGAACGCUCUCUGUAUUGUUCUGCUUCUAACUGUCCUGUAAAAGGACAACGAUAUUGAACUUUUGACCUCAAAUCAGGUAGGACUACCCGCUGAACUUAA